This is a long non-coding RNA of Gorilla gorilla gorilla (western lowland gorilla), 5621 nucleotides long. RefSeq lists it as uncharacterized. NCBI's taxonomy places the organism in Eukaryota, Metazoa, Chordata, Mammalia, Primates, Hominidae. The record is from RefSeq and is a predicted model, not a curated record. The transcript has 4 exons.
AAACACAAAACGCCCACUACGGCCCAGGAGAUUCCACUUCCGCCGCGAGCUCCCGGCGCCGGAAGUCCUCGCGGGGCUCGCUGGGAAACUACGCCACGCAAGCAUUCCCCAGCUCCCAGAAAGCCGUUCGUCCACUGAGCCCGCCUUCUCCAUGACUGAUGGCCAAUGAACAGGAAGAACUGUCAGGCUGCCUAUUAGAAGACAGAAACGCCAUACGCGUCAUACACCUGCACCCGGGAGGAAAGGCGAGGCUCUGCAUCUAGAUUUACCUCGUUCUCUUUUGUCUCCGCUUUUUUUUCACAUUUCCUUGCGCCCCUGGCCCUUGAGCGACAAAAAGGGUCCCGAGGCUGUCCCGAGGAACGGAGAGGGCACAUGGCCUAGCCACGAGUGGAGCUUCUGCUCCGCCGGAAAGGAUGCGCUGGAGCGGCCUCUUCCUUCUGCCACGGUCUUUCUUUGCCAACUAGUAGGUGAGGGCCGAAAGGCCGCGGGCCGUGGAGCUCGGGCCGGGGAGACUCUUUUCCAGCCUCUUGGGUCCCGCUCCUCCCAAUUCCCUGGAGAGGCGUCGAGCUUGCUGGGAAGUGCCCUCGGGUAAGGGGCGCGGAGCCUCCUGCGGCGAUCCUCUGUCUUCGGGUCGCCUUAGCAGGACGCGGCAAGCGGGACACUGACCUGGCCGGAGUCCCGCGCUCUCUCACCAGCUGCUUUGUCCACGAGUUGCUGCUGGGCGUCAGGGGUCCCACGGCCCGGAGGGAUCUAGAGCAGGGGGGCUCGGGGUCCUUUCCAUACCCUCGGAUCCUCUCUCACUCUCUCCACGCCUCGACCCGGAGAUGAUUUCAGGCUCCAGAUCUCUUUCAUAAAUGGAAAGAGUUUUCUUGGUUUGUUUUGUCUUAAUUAUGUAGGUGUUGCAUGCUUGGAAGAGAAAAUUAAGAAAAUUAAUUGGAAAACCAUAAAGAUAGCUUUCUCGUGAUAGCCACAAGGCUUGCUCCCUCACUCUGCUCAUAUGUCACCCCCUCAAGGAGGCCUUCCCCAGCUCUGUAAACAACCUGUGCUCGGCCUUACUUUUCUCCCUAAUGUUUAUCACUACCUGACAUAUACGUGUUUCCCACGACUCAACGAUAAGUGUUCAUGAGGGCAGACACUUUUUAAUGCCCUAUGACAAGCACCUAGAAUUGUGCCUGGCACAUGGUAGAUGCUUAGUAAAUAUUUGUUUAAUGAAUGAAGGUAAAAAACAUUUCUAAUACGACCAUCCAGGAAUAAGUACUAUUAAUGUUUUAGUCUGUUCUUACAGUUUUACUGUUCAGACAGUUAUAUGUCUGUGAAUAUAUAUGUAUUAUAUAUAUAUAUGUAUUUUUUUUUUUUUGAGACAGUCUCGCUCUGUCACUCAGGCUGGACUGCAGUGGCGUGAUCUUGGCUCACUGCAACCUCCGCCUCCUGGAUUCAAGCGAUUCUCCUGCCUCAGCCUCCCGAGUAGCUAGGAUUACAGGCAUGUGUCACCACGCCCGGCUAAUUUUGUAUUUUUAGUAGAGACGGGGUUUCUCCGUGUUGGUCAGGCUGGUCUCGAACUCCUGACCUCAGGUGAUCUGCCCGCCUCGGCCUCCCAAAGUGCUGAGAUUACAGUCGUGAGCCACCGUGCCUGGCGGAAUUUUCAUAUUUUAAGUCCCCCACCCUUGGACAUUUAGAUUUUUUCCAUCUUUCUGUAUUUGCAGAUAUGCUUCUACAUACACCUUUAUUCAUUUGCUUGAACAUUUCCCUGAGAAAAACUAGAAAUGGAAUUGCCAGAUUACUUUGUGUACCUAUUUCCAAACUGUCCUCCAGAAAGAAUGUAAUGCUUUGAACUUCCACUUGAGAAUCAAAUGUUUACCUUCCUCUGUUCCUCCAGAUUUGGACAUUUACAGUGUUCAGCCGUUGUUGUGGCAUUCCAAUUCAAUUGGGAAACAGCUUGAUGUAGCGUCCCCAUAAGGUCCACAGUAAUUAAAUUUUUUUUUUUUUUUUUUUUUUUGGUGCAGUGGUGCAAUUUCAUGGCUCACUGCAACCUCCACCUCCCAGGUUCAAGCGAUCCUCCUAUCUCAGCCUCCCUAGUAGCUGGGAUUACAGGUGCACACCACCACACCAGGCUAAUUUUUGUAUUUUUAGUAGAGAUGGGGUUUCACCAGGUUAGCCAGGCUGGUCUUGAACUCCUGACCUCAAGGGAUCCGCCUGCCUCAGCUUUCCAAAGUGCUGGGAUUACAGGUGAGAACCACUGCACCCAUCCUAUUAAACUUUUAAAUCAUGAUAGUUACCAUGUAUAGAGUGUUUAUAUGCCAGGCAUUGAGCUAAGUCCUUUACAUCUCGCACUCAUUCUGUGCAACAGCCUAAUGGGAGAAAUUCCAUGAAUAUAGUUACCAUUUCCUUGAUUUCUAGAGAAGCUGGAUAUGUUUUCUUUUUUUUCAGUAUUAUUUCUGUUUAUCCUUUUGUGAAUUGUCUGUUGUUAUUUUCAUUGGAAUAUUCUCUUUUUUUGACAGAGUCUCACUCUGUUGCCCGGGCUGGAGUGCAAUGGCGCGAUCUCGGCUCAUUGCAAACUUCUGCCUCCUGGGUUCAAGCAAUUCUCCUGCCUCAGCCUCCCAAGUAGCUGGGAUUACAGGCAUCCACCACCACGCCCAGCUAAUUUUUUGUAUUUUUAGUAGAGACGGGGUUUUGCCAUGUUGGCCAGGCUGGUCUCGAACUCCUGACCUCAGGUGAUCCACCCAUUUCGGCCUCCCAAAGUACUGGGAUUACAGGCGUGAGCCCCUGUGCCCGGCCACACCAUUAUUUUGAAGAGAAAAUUUGAUAAAAAUAAUUGGUCAGUUGUAAAGAUGGUUAACUACCCAACUGGUAAGAGAGAUUUCUAAGAGUUACAGAAUAGCAACUGCAGGAAGGAACUUGUGCCCUUAGGACUGAGGAAGUAAAAAGGAAGGAAACUCGGAAACACGAAAGAGCCCUUCCCCUUUCAAUUCAAGGUGGAGACAGGACCUCAGAAGAGGGAGUGGGUGCCCCGAGAACUCACAGCUAGUGGACAGCGGAAAGGGCAGGAACCGGACCAAGGUGAGGACAGCGGAACUGAAGGCCGCUGGUUACCUCUCCUGCCCUCCGCUGGCCACAGUGGAGAAGACAGCCCCUCCCUCCUGCUCUGACCUGACAGUGUUCAUCCAUCGCCCUGUAUUAGCGAAGAACAUCAAGCUGGCUAGCAAGGAACUGUAUACAGGGUCCAGCUGGGUAUCACACUGGACCUCACCCAAAGCUGAGAUGUGAUCCAGCUCAGUAUCACAAAGCAGAACGAAAAGGAUGUGUUUGGGCUGAGAGGCCAUACAUUGGCUCCGGCAUGACGGGUGACUUCUUCCGAGUCUGGCUUCUGCAGCAUACAGGGCUUCGCCAGCACCCAGCUCCUGCAGCAUGGGCAGCUCCUGUGACAGCAGGCGCCCACAGCCUGCAAAGCGUCUCCAGUGCCGCCGCUUCAGUGAACCGCAACCAGCGGCACCUAGCAGCUUUCUCCACCACCCUCUUCAGGUAGUUCUGUAGCAGCGCGUUUCUCAUGAGACACUUCCCUGUGAGCAGCUUUUUCUACCCUUGAGGUUGGAUUUCCAGCAAGGUCUGCCCAUGUGGUACCACAGCCACUUCUCUGCCAUUCAGUGAAACUGCCGUUAUGCCCUCUUCAAGGUCUGGAUCUAAGCCCAGGGACCAGGAAACCUCUUGCUUGAGUGCUGGAACUCAGGCCAGAAGGCACUCCAGAGCCGCGAGCCGCCUCGCACAGCCGGCGCGUUUCUUCUGCUCCCCCGGAAGAGGGCACGGUCUCCUUCCUGGCCGCUGUCUGCCGGCCGUACCGCACGACAGCUGGCAGCACCGUCAGCCACUGCUCGGGAGCUCGGAAGAUGCUCUAGCUCCGCGGCAAGUGUAGCGAGCCCGCCCAACCCUGGUGCAGGAGCCAUUGCAGCAAAUUGACAGGGAGUCCUCUGGGCCGGAAGUGGCCCUGGCCCUGCGCCGUAUGCUCUCUAGGACUGCAGGAGGCUCGGCAUCUCGGUGAUAGACCCAGGAAGUCAGUGGCUGGGCGGGGCGGGCUGUGAGGACUGAGGUCUGCAGCGAAGGUCCAGCCCCGUGGUCUUCGCUUCGUUCGGCAACGAACGCCCAGCGAAGGGACAUCCCUGUAGAAGUUCUGCUGCGUGUGAUCCAGCCGUCCCCACUCCUCCCGGGAGAGGUACAAGGCCACAUCCUCGAAAGUCACUGGCAUCUGAAACAAUGUGAAACAUCCACUCUCCAGGACAUGACAUGGACAUGGUGGAGGGACACCAUGGCAUGAGAUGUGUGGUGAGACCCCGGACUCCCAACCCACUGUCUCGAGUGAGGCCUGCCACUUCCAUCUGAUGGGGAAGCGGGUGAGCCACCCAAGGCCUUCUGGGGAGCUGAGAAAGAACAAAGACCAAGAGGUAUUUUCAGGGACCACAGUUAAGACUUAGGAUGUCCAUGCAGCCCCCAUCCUCAGCUGAGACCUCGGAGGACGGUUCCCAACGGCUCCCAGCGAGAGGCCCUGUGUCUCUAAUUCCUGCUGCUUCUCCUCCAGCUUUGGCCCAGGCCUGACCAUGGGCCUUGAGCCUGGACAAUUCCAGCAACACUAGCAAGAGCCCCAGGCUUCAGGCUUGGCUGCAAGUGGGGCCAGCGGGGUCCUGGCUUUCACACAGAACCAGCAGAUGCAGGAAGGGCUGAGUACCAUGCAGGGGCCGGGGAAGGGCCACUCACCUGGGACCAGGCAGUGAGGAGCGCUGCAGCCAUCUGCCGGUCUCUGGUCCUCCCCUCUCGGGAAAGCACGGGGAUCCGGGGGGAGGGGAGGGCUGUGGGAGGAGAGAGGUCCUCACGGUGACCAGCUCAUCCUGCUGGACCUGCUGCUACUUCAGCUGCCUCAAACUCCACCCCUGGCCCGACCCAAGGACAGGGUCGGAUGGCUCUGACGCUGCCAGGGGGCUGUGGGCCAUGGGGGGAUAGCGUCCCCUGCUGGCAUAGAGACCCUCAGCCCCACCUGGACCUGGGCCAAGCCUCCACCUCCCCACAGCUGCCUCCCUGGGAAAGCGCCUCUUCCCCGUCCCUCUCCUACCUCCGCCAGGCAGGAAGAGAGCUUUCUCCUUAGAGCCAUGACUUAGGGGUUCCCAGCCCCAUGCACCUUGAGCCCCAUCGUCCUGCGAUGCCCCCUCGGAGUGUGGCUCUUCUGGCUCCACCUUAAUGUGCAACGACUCCUGAGCGUCCCCUGAAGGUACCGCCUCCCCCAGCUUAGAAGGCAUUUCCUGAUGAGGAAGUCCACGAUCUGGAACCUAGAAAGGACAGCCCCCUCAGCACCCAGAUGAGUGGGAGAGACACCCAGGGCUACAUGCCAGGGCGCUCCGGCAGGGUCGGACACCAACAUGCAAGACACAGCUUGAAGGACUGUCCUUGCUGCCUUCAUCCAGCUCACCCCAGCAAGGACGGGCGGCAAGAGGAGGAAUAUUCACCAAGCCGCCUCCGCAGUGCCGGUGGGCGUGGUGCCCAAGGGCAGCUACCCCUUCUCAGCUCCAGCCUCACACUGACCUCAGCAGUGUAGACUGCUGUCUAUUAGUGUAUGAAGAAACCAAGUGUAGUGGCUUGAA